Molecule: ribosomal RNA, 433 nt
Filed under: uncultured bacterium
Lineage: Bacteria
Description: partial 16S ribosomal RNA
Rfam family: Bacterial small subunit ribosomal RNA
Source: RNAcentral
AACGAACGCUGGCGGCAUGCCUAACACAUGCAAGUCGAACGAGAACUUCGGGUCUAGUGGCGCACGGGUGCGUAACGCGUGGGAACCUGCCUUUAGGUUCGGAAUAACUCAGAGAAAUUUGAGCUAAUACCGGAUGAUGUCUUCGGACCAAAGAUUUAUCGCCUUUAGAUGGGCCCGCGUUGGAUUAGCUAGUUGGUGGGGUAAAGGCCUACCAAGGCGACGAUCCAUAGCUGGUCUGAGAGGAUGACCAGCCACACUGGGACUGAGACACGGCCCAGACUCCUACGGGAGGCAGCAGUGGGGAAUAUUGGACAAUGGGCGAAAGCCUGAUCCAGCAAUGCCGCGUGAGUGAUGAAGGCCUUAGGGUUGUAAAUCUCUUUUACCCGAGAUGAUAAUGACAGUAUCGGGAGAAUAAGCUCCGGCUAACUCCGUG